AGCUCCAAUAGCGUAUAUUAAUGUUGUUGCAGUUAAAAAGCUCGUAGUUGGAUUUCUUUUAUAUAAGAUGGGUUUUGAUGUCGUGGGUAACUUCUGUUAUUCGCCAUCUUCCACUCGUAUAAAAAUUAUUUGUAAUCUUUUGUAUUUGGAUGAUUCAUUUCUGUUAUUAAUUUAAUAGUUUUGGAAAGUUCUGUACAUUUAAAAGUUUGCAUCAUUUACUGUGAAAAAAUCAAAGCGUUCAAAGCAGGCUUUAUGCUCUCUGAAUGUUUCAGCAUGGAAUAAUAAGAUAGGUUAGCUCCUCAUUUUGUUGGUUUACAAGGUGUUAAAAUGAUUAAAAGGGACAAUUGGGGGAAUUCGUAUUGGGAUGUCAGAGGUGAAAUUCUUGGAUUUUCUCAAGACG
This 400-nucleotide ribosomal RNA is filed under the name phytoplankton environmental sample. Its description in RNAcentral is "partial small subunit ribosomal RNA". It matches the Rfam family "Eukaryotic small subunit ribosomal RNA", at positions 587 to 937 of the family's 1831-position model. The record is from RNAcentral.